This 203-nucleotide long non-coding RNA is filed under the name Elaeis guineensis (African oil palm). RNAcentral describes it as "long non-coding RNA (EGUI_LNC043480)". The record is from RNAcentral. Lineage: Eukaryota; Viridiplantae; Streptophyta; Magnoliopsida; Arecales; Arecaceae.
GGAUGGCAUAUAGAGUGAUUUGAAUAAGAACAAACGCUACUUGAUAAGGAGUGUUUUGAAAUCAAAUUUCAAAAUCUUUCUUUUAUCAAACCCAACCAAUUUUAGCAUGAGAAAGGAGCAAUGUCAGAAGUUAUUGGUGUAGAGAAAUCUCACACAAAUUUUUUUUGUGCAUGGAGAAAAGUGGCAUCCAAAAAAAUGUGGCG